This 72-nucleotide transfer RNA is filed under the name Ictidomys tridecemlineatus (thirteen-lined ground squirrel). Its description in RNAcentral is "Spermophilus tridecemlineatus (thirteen-lined ground squirrel) tRNA". It matches the Rfam family "tRNA". Rfam says of the family: Transfer RNA (tRNA) molecules are approximately 80 nucleotides in length. The record is from Rfam by way of RNAcentral. Lineage: Eukaryota; Metazoa; Chordata; Mammalia; Rodentia; Sciuridae.
UGGGGUAUGGCUCAGUGGCAGAGCGCUUACCUAGCAUAUGUGAGGCACUGGGUCCGAUCCUCAGUACCACAU